GGAGAUCCAGGAGGGAGGCAGCUGGGAGUUUAUUCUCUUGGGCUAAAGCCAGGACCAGAGGAUCCUAAGACAGAAAGAAGCCUACAGGCAGCGAAGCCUGGGGCUAGCGUGUUAAGAAGAAUGUCUGUCUGUAUCGCAAGGGGAUGUGGAGCUCAUUUUAAUCCUGCUUGGUCUUUCUGCUGUGAAUGCUGUACUCAUUAAGGGCCCCGAUCCAAUGCCCGUUAAAGUCAACAGGCAACUUUCCAUGGACUUUCGCAGGAGUUGAAUCUGACCCACAAAGAACCUGACCUGGGGAAGCGUUUUGAUUUGGACAGAACUGCACAUCCCAACCGGCUACGGUUUGGUCCGUGUUUCUCUGCCCAGCUGCAGUCCUGACUGCGGUGACUUGGAUUUGAAAGGCAUUCCACCGAGUUGUGAGUUCCCCACGCUUCUGAUCCAAAGACUCUCCCAUACCAUUGACCUCCAUUGACGCAUGACUUGCACAUCAGGAUGUAGACCGUUACCUGACAUGAGAUGAAACCCUAAAGUCUUGCAUGAGUGCUGCACGUUGGGACGGGACCUUUUCUCACAUGCCGCAUGGGGAGAACCCCCCUGUAUUUAUCCACUGGGAUAUUCUUGGGGGCUAACUAGCAGACAAAAGGGCAGUGGGCCAUUAGCUGGAGAGGUCCGUGGGGGUGCGAUUGAAGGUGGCACAAAGGAAUGGCACACAACACAGCAGUGGGGCCCUUCUGGAGUGUCUGACUGUGUGUAAGAGACAGGGGUUGAAUAACCAGACUGUCCUCCUUGGCCAACUCGCUUUUCGAUUUCCCCGUUGCUCUGGGGCAUGCGUGACAGCUGCGCAGCUAAGAGGGCCUUAGCAGCUGCUUGUGCCAUCUUGAAGGGGGCUGGUAAAACCUCAGUGGCUUCGGGAAGUAUGGGCAGCCAGGCACGCUGCUCCCACCUUGCAGUGCAGAUGGCACCAGGCCCUGCGGGGGUCUCCCCUCCCCUGCGCUGGCUCGGAGCAGAGUGGCAGGCUGGCAGCUUGGAGUGAGCAAGAGA
Molecule: long non-coding RNA, 1038 nt
Organism: Mauremys mutica (yellowpond turtle)
Lineage: Eukaryota; Metazoa; Chordata; Testudines; Geoemydidae
Exons: 3
Source: RefSeq, a predicted model, not a curated record